UGCUAGGUGUGGAUGGUGAAAUAAUCCAAG
RNAcentral lists this non-coding RNA (30 nucleotides) under Mus musculus (house mouse). The record is from RNAcentral. Lineage: Eukaryota; Metazoa; Chordata; Mammalia; Rodentia; Muridae.